CAGGGAGACAACAAAAUGUUAAAUAUUAAUUUUGUCACCUUAGGUCGAUCGGUAUCUCACAUUCUUAAUUUAUUAAGGAUUUUAUUUCCUAAGUUUUUUCUAGGUCACACCCAUUUUUUUUCCUGGGCCAUUAGCUCAGGUGGUUAGAGCGCACCCCUGAUAAGGGUGAGGUCCCUGGUUCAAGUCCAGGAUGGCCCAUAUCUCUAUGUUGGGGGUAUAGCUCAGUUGGUAGAGCGCCUGCUUUGCAAGCAGGAUGUCAGCGGUUCGAGUCCGCUUACCUCCACUGAUUACCACCUCUCCCAUAAUCUUUAGAAAGGAAAAAUUUUUGAGUUGUGAUCACAUUCUGAACGAAUCUAGCUUCCUAAUGAAAUCAUUAAGAUGCUGGACUCAUUGAAUUAAUUUCAUUGUUUUCAGAGAACCUUGACAACUGCAUAGAUUAUUUUUAAAGACAAUAAGCAUCUUUAAUGAUGCAGAUUUAUUAUUUGUGCGUAAGCAUUAAAUAACAAUUCUAUUAAGCUGAUGCUUCAAUUAUUGAAGUUAUU
Molecule: transfer RNA, 542 nt
Filed under: uncultured Prochlorococcus sp.
Lineage: Bacteria; Bacillati; Cyanobacteriota; Cyanophyceae; Synechococcales; Prochlorococcaceae
Description: partial 16S-23S ribosomal RNA intergenic spacer
Rfam family: tRNA (bases 211-283)
Source: RNAcentral